This 204-nucleotide long non-coding RNA is filed under the name Phaseolus vulgaris (common bean). Its description in RNAcentral is "long non-coding RNA (PVUL_LNC002552)". The record is from RNAcentral. Lineage: Eukaryota; Viridiplantae; Streptophyta; Magnoliopsida; Fabales; Fabaceae.
AGUUUUGUUUCCUUUCAUGUUCUUUGUUGUCAAAACAACCUUUGUUUCUUUCUUAUCAGCUAUAGUAUUUAAUUCACUGCGAUCUCAGGAUGUGUUAUUUGGAAGUGAUGUGGUUAUUCAUUCGAGGAUUGAUGUGUUAUUUGGAAGUGAGGUGGUUAUUCAUUCGAGGAUUGAGUUUCAUUCCCUUUGACUUGCAUUUUUUUG